AAUCAACCAAUCAGAAGACAUUAAUUUGCCAUGUCACAACAUCUUUGUCGAGUUAUUGGACCUUCCGUGUUGUUUCCAAAAAUUAAAUCAUGGCCUGUGUAAAGCCCAGCUGCCAAAAACCUAUCUCCUAAGCAUCUAUCAAUACGACUCUUCCACUUCGUCUUCUACAUCUCCAUUUACUGUAAAAGGCGUAACAGACCCCCCUGAUCAAUCAGUGAUACUCUUCAAUCCCCCUUUUAUGGUUUCGUUCCACCUCCCCUUCAUUCUCCACCUAUAUAAAUCACUACAUCUAAACCUAAAUUCAGACAAAAUCGGAAACUUCCACAGAAAGAGAUCACGCUAUAACCAUGAACUCUGCUAAAUCAAACGGAAAGUGUGUUCAUGAAGGAGAAGAUAAAUUGAGUUAUAUUUAGUUUUGUACAACAUCAUCUUUUACAGUGCCUUGAACAAGACCUGAACCAAGAUCGCUUGAUCUCAUGGAGCCAACAUAACCAAACUGAUAAAGAAGGAAGAAGGCUGAUCAUACAGGCAUGCGCAAUUGCCUCCGGCGCCGUCGUCUUCUCUGAGUCCUCCUUAUCGACUUGGGAGGACAAGGAUUCAUCUUUAGGUAUGCGUCGGUGGCGUAAGGCAUCAGCUUAUUUUCUCUCUUAAAUGCUUCAAAGAUCUCCUUGGCUCUCAUAAAUUUGGUUCAUUUGAUCAUUUCCAUUGAUGGGUCUGCCUUCGCUCACAGAUUCCUGUUGUGUUGGAGUUUAUGCCUUUUGAAACUUCCUCUAAGCAUCUCUUCCACUGUAAGUAUUUUCUCAUCUUUUAAGAGAUUAGCAAUAAUCUUAAUGUUUGAUCUGAUUUUGUUUGACAUAUCUCAGUGAUGAUAUAACUCAUUCUGAUGUUAUAUAUGAACUAUUCUUGGUAAAUUGUGAUGAUAUAUGCAGGGGAUAUCAAGCCAAUGAAGUAGGCGAGGAGGGUGAGAGCGGAUUGCGGCAACACAGAUCGCGUUUGUUUUCUCCUUUCAAUUUGCUCUUCCUUCUCUAUUUUGUUUGUUCUCCCUUCCUUCUUUCGGUUUGGUCAAUUAUGUUGUUGUUUCUUUUGAGAUUUUCGAGUUUAUCACUAUCUUCGAAAGUGGUUGUGUUGCUAACCAUGGCGUACGUCUUUCUUCGAGUGUACAGCGAAGGCAGCAGUGGUAGGGUUUACCAGUGUGGAAUUCCAGAAAGGCCUCUCGAUUGUUAACCUUUAUAUAGAGGAUAAAGUUGCUCAUGAUUUCUGAAACAACACACACUUCUUCUUCUUAAUCCUCAAAGAUGAAUCUACCAAGUCUCCUCUCCAGGUUAAUGGACUCUAAACAGAGCACUUGAAAGUUGAUUUUUUUUGGUGUGUCAUGUGUGCAACAGCAGUUUUUAUCGUUUCACACUAGGCUUAUUAUCCUUUAGUAAAGAGCUAACUGAUAUGAAUUAGCUUACUAUAAGAAAUGUUAAUGGAAUUAACUUAACAGCAAAUUGCAUUUAAAAAACGUAGACCUUCAAACAUAUAUAUGGAUUGAACAUAGAUUCUGUAGAUAUAAAGGUUGUAGAGUUUCUUUUAAAUGCAUUUAUCAUUCAUCAUUUUAAUGUUUCUACUUAUCUUAUGGAUUAUUUGAUUGCCAAGUUCAGUAAGUAAAUUUUGUAUGACUUUCUUAAUGUUACAAACCCAUUAUCUCUAUCGAACUAACAUAAUUUUUUUUUAUCUUGAUUACCACUGCUCAGAUAUGUGAUGUUUGAUCGAUCACCAAUCACCAAUCACCAUCCUAUUCUCCAGGUGGGCGUGCUUGAUGGCCAUUAGUGAAGCUCUGUCAAGAACGACUAUAGUGGAAAAUGAAUUUUUGAAUGAGUACGAAGGUGGUGGAAAAUAUAGCAUCGGUGAUCAUGGUUAUUGCUACAGCUGUGGUGGUGGUUGAUACGCGAAAUCAUAUAUAACUAUAUAUACUUCAAAUGUAUUUAUUUUUAGUUUUAUCUAUGUUCUAAGUUUAGUUAUCUAAUUAUUUAAUUUUAUUGUGUAUAUCAUGCUUAUCUGGCAUGUUUAAUGGCUUGAAACACAGUUUUGUUUAUUUGUUAUAUUUAAUUUUUCUCAUUGAUCAUAUAUAAAAAAAUACAUAAUUUCUCAAAAAAUGAUAAAGUCUGGUCAAAAAUUAACUUAAAAGUAUUUUUUUGUGUAACAUAGGAGAUAAUUUUUUUUUUUUUGUAAUGUGACAGAGAAGAUAAUUGAUAUUUUGUGUGUGUAUAAAGCUUAGAUUAACUUAAAGUAUUUUUUGACUAAAAUUUGAGAUAUUUUACAUUUACUAUAGCGUUUAAUUUUGGGUCUGUAAGACACCUACAUUUAGCAAAUUAACACGACUAAUUUUUUUAUUUUUCCGUGAUACCAAACAUAACGUUUUAUGAAUGAAAUUAGAAGUUGCACAUAUAUAACAAAGUAAGAUUAAUUUAACAGUUUAGUAAGAAAACAAUUUUACAAAUUAAGGACGUUAGUUUAUAUAUACCACAUAUAAAAUAUGUAGAUGUUACAUCAUUUGUAAUAAAAAAAAUGAAAUCUAAAGUGUAAUAAGUGUUUUUACAAGCUGACCAAACAUCUAUACAUAUUUGAAUUCCAUCAAAAUUAAGCAUGAACAACGUAAAUAUUCCGCACAAGAAACGGAUGCCCAUUUAAUCCAAUAGGAAACAUAAAAAAUAUAUCCACAAGUGGAAGUGGUUUACUAAUGGUUCAUUAAUAAUUUUACACCAAAAGUCCCAUUUCGAAACCAAAAAAAAAAUAUGUAAAUUAGUAGAAAUUUUUUUUAUAUGAGAUCUUCAACGUGGUUCAAGAAGUAUUAGUAGACGUGAAUCUAUAGGACAGUUCAAAAUGAUAUAAUCAGACAUGACUUUUCAUAAAUUAGGUAGCAUUGUCGGAUAUAAAAUCAUCUAUAUAUAUCCACAGAUAUAAAAAAUAUCUCUAUUUUACACUCUCUGUUUUUAAUAGACGACUCUUUGAAGUUUUUUUUUUUAAAUUACAAGACGUUUUAAAUUUACAAUAUAAAUUUUUAUUCUUUUAUACUAUAUAACAUUUUAUAUUUUACAGAUUAUUUUUCUGUUGAUUGAAUUAUGUUUAAAUAACAUUUUUGUUUAGAAAAUAUAUAACAUUAAAUAUUUUUAAUAUGUGUGCAAAAUUUCAAUGCUUUAAAUGAAAAAAAUAGUAAUUUUGAUUUGGUAUUAGAAAUCCAGCGGCUUAUUAUCUACAACUUAUUUAACAUGUUAUAUUAUUAAAAGUUUUGGACAUCGGUAAGUUAGUAAGUUUUAAAGUACAUCUGUGCUCACAAAGAAAUAUAUAAUAACUUCUUACCAAAAAAAAAAAGAAAUAUAUAA
Brassica napus (rape) is the source of this 3365-nucleotide long non-coding RNA. RefSeq lists it as uncharacterized. The transcript has 3 exons. The record is from RefSeq and is a predicted model, not a curated record. NCBI's taxonomy places the organism in Eukaryota, Viridiplantae, Streptophyta, Magnoliopsida, Brassicales, Brassicaceae.